Grammomys surdaster is the source of this 969-nucleotide long non-coding RNA. RefSeq lists it as uncharacterized. NCBI's taxonomy places the organism in Eukaryota, Metazoa, Chordata, Mammalia, Rodentia, Muridae. The record is from RefSeq and is a predicted model, not a curated record. The transcript has 2 exons.
AGGUGGCCAAAGUGGAGUAUGUCAGGAAGAAGCCAAAAUUGAAAGAGGUCCAGGUGAGGUUAGAGGAACACCUGGAGUGUGCAUGUGCGACCUCCAACCUGAACCCAGACCAUCGGGAGGAGGAGACGGAUGUGAGGUGAGAUGAGCCGGCCGCCCUCUCCCGGGACACGGAUGUACGUGGCGUGUGACAUUCCUGAACAUACUAUGUAUGGUGCUUCAUUGCCAAUGUGCGUGCGGUCUUUGUUCUCCUCCGUGAAAAACUGUGUCCGAGGACAAAGAGACAGUGUCCGUUUGUUCAGUGUGACAUCAAAGCAAGUACUGUAGCACUCGGAGGGACAGUGAGAAAGCUUCCUUGUCACAGAGAGCGAAAACAAAACCACAAAAAAGAAAAAAACAAAAAAAAAAACAAAAAAAAAAUUAAAAAAAAAAAAACAAACAACAAACCACAACCCAACAACAAAAAACCCCACCAGAAGAAACAGAGGCUGAAGCAGGCAGUGGAAGGACCGCCCUGCAGGACUGACCCUCGAGUGGGGGCUGAAGUUGGCCACCACCCUCGAUUCUGCCCGUGGGCACAGGUGCUUUUCGCCGAGGACGCCUGGAGCUGCCUGGGAUGCUGCCUGCCAGCUCUGCCAGGCACAGGAGCUGAGCAACUGGGGGAUGGAUGCCCACGGGCCUGGAUGCCACCACCUCGCUUGAGUCUGCCUAGGACCUUCCUGAUGGCCUUACGUGGAAUUUCUUUUUCCUUUUCCUUUUUAUUUUAUUUUAUUUUAUUUACACCAUGAAGUGAUUUAGCUUCUCCUUUUUAUUCUCUGCCUAGCUUUUUUUUUUUUUUUAUCUCUUGGAUGACAUUUUCGUUGAUAACACACACGAGGCUGCUGUAAGUUGGGACAGCGAGACGGUUAUUUUUUUCCUAGCCAAACUAAUGAGGUGUAUUAAAAUAAACAUGAUAUACCUACCUAUACAUCA